RNAcentral lists this ribosomal RNA (496 nucleotides) under uncultured bacterium. Its description in RNAcentral is "partial 16S ribosomal RNA". It matches the Rfam family "Bacterial small subunit ribosomal RNA", at positions 28 to 506 of the family's 1533-position model. The record is from RNAcentral.
GAUGAACGCUGGCGGCGUGCCUAAUACAUGCAAGUCGAGCGAACGGACGAGAAGCUUGCUUCUCUGAUGUUAGCGGCGGACGGGUGAGUAACACGUGGAUAACCUACCUAUAAGACUGGGAUAACUUCGGGAAACCGGAGCUAAUACCGGAUAAUAUUUUGAACCGCAUGGUUCAAAAGUGAAAGGCGGUCUUGCUGUCACUUAUAGAUGGAUCCGCGCUGCAUUAGCUAGUUGGUAAGGUAACGGCUUACCAAGGCAACGAUGCAUAGCCGACCUGAGAGGGUGAUCGGCCACACUGGAACUGAGACACGGUCCAGACUCCUACGGGAGGCAGCAGUAGGGAAUCUUCCGCAAUGGGCGAAAGCCUGACGGAGCAACGCCGCGUGAGCGAUGAAGGUCUUCGGAUCGUAAAACUCUGUUAUUAGGGAAGAACAUAUGUGUAAGUAACGGUGCACAUCUUGACGGUACCUAAUCAGAAAGCCACGGCUAACUACGU